GGGGAUAUAGCUCAGUUGGUAGAGUGCUUGCUUCGAAAGCACAAGGCACUGGGUUCAAUCCUCAGCACCACCA
This 73-nucleotide transfer RNA is filed under the name Ictidomys tridecemlineatus (thirteen-lined ground squirrel). RNAcentral describes it as "Spermophilus tridecemlineatus (thirteen-lined ground squirrel) tRNA". It matches the Rfam family "tRNA". Rfam says of the family: Transfer RNA (tRNA) molecules are approximately 80 nucleotides in length. Their secondary structure includes four short double-helical elements and three loops (D, anti-codon, and T loops). Further hydrogen bonds mediate the characteristic L-shaped molecular structure. tRNAs have two regions of fundamental functional importance: the anti-codon, which is responsible for specific mRNA codon recognition, and the 3' end, to which the tRNAs corresponding amino acid is attached (by aminoacyl-tRNA synthetases). tRNAs cope with the degeneracy of the genetic code in two manners: having more than one tRNA (with a specific anti-codon) for a particular amino acid; and 'wobble' base-pairing, i.e. permitting non-standard base-pairing at the 3rd anti-codon position. Lineage: Eukaryota; Metazoa; Chordata; Mammalia; Rodentia; Sciuridae. The record is from Rfam by way of RNAcentral.